This is a ribosomal RNA of Danio rerio (zebrafish), 118 nucleotides long. The record is from Ensembl. NCBI's taxonomy places the organism in Eukaryota, Metazoa, Chordata, Actinopteri, Cypriniformes, Danionidae.
UUCGCCAACAGCUAGCUCUCUGCAACUCUCACAUGGUCGCCAACUGAAGCUAAGCAGGGCUGCACCCGGUCAGUACCUGGAUGGGAGACUACAUGGGAAAGCUAGGUUGCUGCCGAAG